CAGUGGGGUACCUCAGGGAUCUGUACUUGGACCCAUUCUCUUUAAUAUUUUUAUUAGUGAUAUUGCAGAAGGUCUUGAUGGUAAGGUAUGUCUUUUUGCUGAUGAUACUAAGAUAUGUAACAGGGUUGAUGUUCCAGGAGGGAUAAACCAAAUGACAAAUGAUUUAGGUAAACUAGAAAAAUGGCCAGAAUUGUGGCAACUGACAUUUAAUGUGGAUAAGUGCAAGAUAAUGCAUCUUGGACGUAAAAACCCAAGGGCAGAGUACAGAAUAUUUG
This 275-nucleotide long non-coding RNA is filed under the name Pelobates cultripes (western spadefoot toad). Lineage: Eukaryota; Metazoa; Chordata; Amphibia; Anura; Pelobatidae. The record is from RNAcentral.